RNAcentral lists this ribosomal RNA (252 nucleotides) under Phascolarctobacterium succinatutens YIT 12067. RNAcentral describes it as "partial 16S ribosomal RNA". It matches the Rfam family "Bacterial small subunit ribosomal RNA", at positions 524 to 776 of the family's 1533-position model. The record is from RNAcentral. Lineage: Bacteria; Bacillati; Bacillota; Negativicutes; Acidaminococcales; Acidaminococcaceae.
UACGUAGGUGGCGAGCGUUGUCCGGAAUUAUUGGGCGUAAAGAGCAUGUAGGCAGUUUUUUAAGUCUGGAGUGAAAAUGCGGGGCUCAACCCCGUAUGGCUCUGGAUACUGGAAGACUUGAGUGCAGGAGAGGAAAGGGGAAUUCCCAGUGUAGCGGUGAAAUGCGUAGAUAUUGGGAGGAACACCAGUGGCGAAGGCGCCUUUCUGGACUGUGUCUGACGCUGAGAUGCGAAAGCCAGGGUAGCGAACGGG